AUGGGGAGCAGGGGGGGGGCCGCCCGUCUCCUCGCCCCGCUGAGCAUCACCCCGCUGCUGCUCGGCCCUGAGAACGGCACCGGGAGGAAUCCCACGGCAGAGGAGGAAACCAGAGGGAGAAAACCAGGCCAAGCGCCCCGUGUGCCCGGCCGGCCUCGGCACGGCCCCGCAGCGCAGGGGCUGCGAGCACCAAAACCCCCCCCAGGACCUCCUCAUCCGAGGCGGGGAGCAGCGGGCGAGCUUUUCGGGGAAGGCUCCUCGAAUUCAGGAAGCAAAACCCGGCCCUGGCAGGGCUGCUGCGAGCCUGGAGCCCCGAUAAGGAGGAGAGGAAACAGCCGGCACUGCGCUCGGGUCCCCGGUGAGCCCAGGGUGCUGGGGACACCGCUGGGGACAGCUCCAGCAGCCCCGGGACGCUGGCACAGCUCGUGCCGGAGGGUGGGGAACAGAAAAAAGCCGACGUCUGCUUGUGCUGCAGGGCCCCCCCCUAUUUUUUUUUUUUUUUUUUUUUUUUUUUUGCCGACCUCAGCCAAGAGGCGGAUGCCAUUGGUGGGAAGCCGGAGUUAUUUGGGGAAUGCUGAACUCCGCACCGCCGGAGCAGCAGGGGAGGAGGUUGGUUUUAAUUUAACCGGCCGUGCUCAGCCCUCCCCUCUCACCUUUGGACUGGCUGAAACGUGCGGGCUGAGCCCUGGCGAGGAGCAGGGGGCAGCGGGGGCUUCUCCCACCCCAAGGCACUGCGGGGGUCCCGGGGGUCCCGGUCCCGCUCCCCUGCAGCCCGGCCGCAGCAGCCUCCCACGUCGCAGGCCCAGGGCAGGGAUUUCUCAGGCAGAGAAAAAAGAAAAGCAGGCGGAUGCAAAGCCUCCAAAAUACCCAGCUUUAAUCUGUAAACUCGCACAGAGACACCCGGCAGGACAGCGGGGGCGAAGGAGCCACCGGGGCAGGGGGGGGGGUGCUGAGGGGGUGCUGUGCCCGGCAGCCCCCCUGUGCAUGGGGGUCGUGUGCCCUGCAGCUGCCCCCGGCACCUCCAGCAGCACCCCAAAUAUUCUCCGUCCCAAAUAUUCCCUGUCCCAAAUAUUCCUGUCCUGGUGCCCUGCAUGGCACAGGGUGCUGGGGGGGGGGGUGAUGCUGAGCACUGGAGCUGCAGCCCCGCGAUGCCUGAGCCUCGCUGCCCGCACCCCGCAGCCCGCCGAGCUCAUUUUGGGACACGCAUGA
Molecule: long non-coding RNA, 1209 nt
Filed under: Anas platyrhynchos platyrhynchos (common mallard)
Lineage: Eukaryota; Metazoa; Chordata; Aves; Anseriformes; Anatidae
Description: lncRNA (ENSAPLG00000022796.1)
Source: RNAcentral